This 468-nucleotide ribosomal RNA is filed under the name uncultured bacterium. RNAcentral describes it as "partial 16S ribosomal RNA". It matches the Rfam family "Bacterial small subunit ribosomal RNA", at positions 28 to 507 of the family's 1533-position model. The record is from RNAcentral.
GACGAACGCUGGCGGCGUGCUUAACACAUGCAAGUCGAACGGAAAGGCCCUGCUUUUGUGGGGUGCUCGAGUGGCGAACGGGUGAGUAACACGUGAGUAACAUGCCCUUGACUUUGGGAUAACUUCAGGAAACUGGGGCUAAUACCGGAUAGGAGAUCCUGCUGCAUGGUGGGGGUUGGAAAGUUUGGGCGGUUGGGGCUGGACUCGCGGCUUAUCAGCUUGUUGGUGGGGUAGUGGCUGACCAGGGCUUCGACGGGUAGCCGGCCUUAGAGGUUGACCGGCCACAUUGGUACUGCGAUACGCCCCAGACUCCUACGGGAGGCAGCAGUGGGGAAUAUUGCACAAUGGGCGGAAGCCUGAUGCAGCAACGCCGCGUGCGUGAUGCCGGCCUUCGGGUUGUAAACCGCUUUCGCCUGUGACGAAGCGUGAGUGACGGUAAUGGGUAAAGAAGCACCGGCUAACUACGUG